GAUAGAAGAACCAUUCUAUCAUCAGGGUAAUGAUCCAUCAACCCGUUAGUUCUUUUUAUGAGGCCUGUGAGGACUGCUUUCAAUCAAAAGGAGAUAAGCGACUUGCCUUCCUCAGGAUUAGCCAUAUUGGAUGAAUGCCCGGGAGUGUGAAGGGGGACAUAGCGAGUAGUUUCAGUGGAAGUGGAAGCAGCAGCAAAACCUAAACUCAAAAGAAAAAUUGAUC
RNAcentral lists this long non-coding RNA (223 nucleotides) under Carica papaya (papaya). RNAcentral describes it as "long non-coding RNA (CPAP_LNC014206)". The record is from RNAcentral. Lineage: Eukaryota; Viridiplantae; Streptophyta; Magnoliopsida; Brassicales; Caricaceae.